UUAAAAAGCAAAAUUAGGUCAGCCUUAAAAUUCUUGUAUCCCAAGGAAAUUCCAUGUAUAAAAAUACAAAAGCUAAUUAGUAUUUUGUUGUAACUUGUAAUAUAGUCUGAAUUUGUUUAACAAAAGUUUCUUGGUCUCCACUCUAUCCAUAGUUCUCAAUACCAUCGAAUCAGAGCAAAAACAAAAAGGGUUGUAACUAACAAAGCAGCAUGGUCUAUGUUUGGUGCUCUCACUGCCUUAAUUUUUGCAGGAUGGCUGUCCACCAUGGCUUCAUUUUAAGUGCAGAUCCUGUUCAAUAUGUGGAAAGGUGUUAGAUGAAGUAAGUAAAAAGAAGGUUUCAAUGAUAAAGAGGAAGAGUACAAGGUUUAAAAGGACCAAAAGGCUGGGUAAGAGAAGACCAGUGUUUUGAUUGAUUCUUUCUUAUUAUACCUACAAAGUUAGAUCAAUUCUCCCCAUCCAAAUUAGAGAAUUUGACCCCGAUUUAUAUAUUUAUGUAUGCAUACUCUGAUUCUUUUAUUCAAAUAAAUUGUAUAUGAAGGCGAAUGGAAAAUAACAUUUGAUUAGAUUUGUCAUGUUAAUAAUUUUAA
Molecule: long non-coding RNA, 587 nt
Organism: Gossypium arboreum
Lineage: Eukaryota; Viridiplantae; Streptophyta; Magnoliopsida; Malvales; Malvaceae
Exons: 2
Source: RefSeq, a predicted model, not a curated record